This is an RNA transcript of Tetranychus urticae (two-spotted spider mite), 2275 nucleotides long. It is a transcript of the gene named disks large homolog 2 pseudogene, with no coding region annotated. NCBI's taxonomy places the organism in Eukaryota, Metazoa, Arthropoda, Arachnida, Trombidiformes, Tetranychidae. The record is from RefSeq and is a predicted model, not a curated record.
UACUGUUUUUACUUGUAUGUAUCUUACAUUCCAAUCGUCAGUGAAUGUCAAAUUUAAACUAGGUUUGAAAGCCAUCCUCAUUUUAAUCAUUUGUAAAUUAACCGUUAACAUCAUUUUUCACAAUUGUUUUCUUUUGCUGUUAAGAAGAGUCUACAAUAACUAUGAUCAGGGAUGAAACCAAUUUACAAAAAAUAAAUCUGUUAUUUACUCAUCCACUUUUAUUCAAAUCAACCUACUCCUACACUAAAUUCAACAAAUUUUCUAGUGAUACCAACAUUUUAUUCAAAUGUGUCAAUAUCAAGAAUCAAGUAAAUUGUAAUAAUUCCUGGUCCAAUCGCCAUGAUAUUAUUGAUUCAUGUUGCAAUCUCUUCUGCCUUUCUGAUUCUAUGGUCAACUCUAUUGCUCUGAUAAUCAACAGUUGGAAAUAUACAACAUUUUUAUUGAAUCCCAUUAUAUUAACUUAUAGUUACAAUAUAUCUUCAUCUUUAUUAUUACCUCAAUUGUUAUCAUCACUAUUGUUUUUAUGUUUUUACAAAUAUUGCCAGCAUUAAUACAAGGAUCUGUGAGAAAAACAAGUAAACAAAAAUGUCCAGCCCAAAGCCAUCUAAAGUUGCCUCACCUUCAACCUCUAAAUUGCAAUCAUACUCUAGUUCACAUUCGUCAUCAUCACCUCCACCUUCCUCUACAUCUAAAGUAAAAAAAGAUGAUGUAUCUAAAGGACUUAGAUCUGUUAAAUUAACGAAAGGUUCAUCUGGAUUAGGUUUUAAUAUUGUCGGUGGAGAAGAUGGUGAAGGUAUCUUUAUUUCCUUUUUAUUAGCCGGCGGUCCUGCUGAUUUGUCCGGUAAAUUGUUCAAAGGUGACCAAAUAAUCUCAGUUAAUGGAAUUGAUCUUGGUGGUUGUUCUCAUGAAGAAGCAGCGGCUAUUCUCAAAGCGUCAACAGGCGAAAUAACCCUUCUAGUAGAAUACCAUCCGGAUGAUUAUGCCAGAUUUGAAAAGAAAAUGGUAGAAAUGAGAGAAGGUUUGAUGAUGAACUCUUCUGGAAGUUUAAUCACCCGAUCAAAGAGAAGCCUAUUUGUCCGCUCUCUAUUUAACUAUGACCCAACACGUGAUUCUGGUUUACCGAGUCGAGGCUUAGCUUUCUCAUUCGGAGAUAUCCUAAAUGUAAUCAAUGCUUCAGAUGAUGAAUGGUGGCAAGCUAAAAGGAUUAAUCCCGGAGGUGGACAAGAAACUAAUUUUGGCAUUAUUCCAUCAAAGGCAAGAGUAGAGAAGAAGGAAAAAGCCAGAUUAAGAUAUGUUAAAUUUUCAGACAAUGGUGAAUACAGUUCAAAUGGCAAAAAAUCUAGCUCUGGCCUAUUGGUUGAAAAGAAAAGGAAAAAUUUCUCAUUCUCAAAAAUAUUAGCCUUCAUUCGAUCCAAGGAUGGUGAAAAAGACCAAAAUGACAGUAGAGAGUAUUCUUUAACUAGGGAUAAACACCAUUUCUCAUCCUCUGAAUCCAACAUUGGUGCUGGAACUAGUGCCGAAGCUGAUAAAAGUAGAGAAGAGCCUGUGCAUUCAAUAUUUUCUUAUGAACCUGUUGUUAAAAAGAAAAUUGAUUAUGUUAGACCGAUAAUCAUUUUGGGUCCAUUUAAAGACAAAUUCUAUGAUGAUCUAAUUGCAUUGCCUGAAAAAUUUUGUGCCUGUGUACCUCAUACAACAAGGUCGCCUCGAGAUGAUGAGGUUGAUGGACGUGAUUAUUAUUUUGUGUCAAGAGAAGCAAUGGAAAAAGAUAUCGCUGCCAAUCUGUUCAUUGAAUCCGGACAGUAUAAAGAUAAUCUUUAUGGUACUUCAGUUGCUGCUGUAAAGGCUGUUGCUGGAACUUUUAAAACUGGACGUCACUGUGUUCUUGAUGUUAGUAUCAGUGCUAUUCAGCGUCUUCAAGAUGCUGGUUUGGUACCAAUUUGCAUUUUAAUCAAGCCUAAAUCGGUCGAAAGCCUGAUGGAAAUAAACAAACACCUUUCUUGGGAGCAAGCUAAAGCCAUGUUUGAUAAGAAUGUAAAAAUUGAGCAAGAAUUUGCCGAUCAUUUUACCGCAAUCAUAACAGGAUUUACUUUGGAAGAAUUUUUAACUAAAAUUUUGUUGAUAAUUGAUGAAUACCGUGGACCAGAAAUUUGGGUGCCAUCAGAAGAAGACAUUUAGGAAAUUUUAAUUAUAAUUUUCACAGUUGUGAACAAUUUAUCAUGAUAAAUUAAUUAAUUAUUAAUGAGUAAUCAACGAAUGUUUGAUCAUUUAAAACACU